RNAcentral lists this ribosomal RNA (427 nucleotides) under uncultured bacterium. RNAcentral describes it as "partial 16S ribosomal RNA". It matches the Rfam family "Bacterial small subunit ribosomal RNA", at positions 355 to 774 of the family's 1533-position model. The record is from RNAcentral.
UGGGGAAUAUUGCACAAUGGGCGCAAGCCUGAUGCAGCCAUGCCGCGUGUAUGAAGAAGGCCUUCGGGUUGUAAAGUACUUUCAGCGAGGAGGAAGGCGGUAAGGUUAAUAACCUUAUCGAUUGACGUUACUCGCAGAAGAAGCACCGGCUAACUCCGUGCCAGCAGCCGCGGUAAUACGGAGGGUGCAAGCGUUAAUCGGAAUUACUGGGCGUAAAGCGCACGCAGGCGGUCUGUCAAGUCGGAUGUGAAAUCCCCGGGCUCAACCUGGGAUCUGCAUUCGAAACUGGCAGGCUAGAGUCUUGUAGAGGGGGGUAGAAUUCCAGGUGUAGCGGUGAAAUGCGUAGAGAUCUGGAGGAAUACCGGUGGCGAAGGCGGCCCCCUGGACAAAGACUGACGCUCAGGUGCGAAAGCGUGGGGAGCAAACA